This 2070-nucleotide ribosomal RNA is filed under the name Salmonella enterica subsp. enterica serovar Potsdam. RNAcentral describes it as "partial 23S ribosomal RNA". It matches the Rfam family "Bacterial large subunit ribosomal RNA", at positions 712 to 2764 of the family's 2925-position model. Lineage: Bacteria; Pseudomonadati; Pseudomonadota; Gammaproteobacteria; Enterobacterales; Enterobacteriaceae. The record is from RNAcentral.
GACCCGAAACCCGGUGAUCUAGCCAUGGGCAGGUUGAAGGUUGGGUAACACUAACUGGAGGACCGAACCGACUAAUGUUGAAAAAUUAGCGGAUGACCUGUGGCUGGGGGUGAAAGGCCAAUCAAACCGGGAGAUAGCUGGUUCUCCCCGAAAGCUAUUUAGGUAGCGCCUCGUGAAUUCAUCUCCGGGGGUAGAGCACUGUUUCGGCUAGGGGGCCAUCCCGGCUUACCAACCCGAUGCAAACUGCGAAUACCGGAGAAUGUUAUCACGGGAGACACACGGCGGGUGCUAACGUCCGUCGUGAAGAGGGAAACAACCCAGACCGCCAGCUAAGGUCCCAAAGUCAUGGUUAAGUGGGAAACGAUGUGGGAAGGCCCAGACAGCCAGGAUGUUGGCUUAGAAGCAGCCAUCAUUUAAAGAAAGCGUAAUAGCUCACUGGUCGAGUCGGCCUGCGCGGAAGAUGUAACGGGGCUAAACCAUGCACCGAAGCUGCGGCAGCGACACUCAGGUGUUGUUGGGUAGGGGAGCGUUCUGUAAGCCUGUGAAGGUGGCCUGUGAGGGUUGCUGGAGGUAUCAGAAGUGCGAAUGCUGACAUAAGUAACGAUAAAGCGGGUGAAAAGCCCGCUCGCCGGAAGACCAAGGGUUCCUGUCCAACGUUAAUCGGGGCAGGGUGAGUCGACCCCUAAGGCGAGGCCGAAAGGCGUAGUCGAUGGGAAACGGGUUAAUAUUCCCGUACUUGGUGUUACUGCGAAGGGGGGACGGAGAAGGCUAUGUUGGCCGGGCGACGGUUGUCCCGGUUUAAGCGUGUAGGCUGGUUUUCCAGGCAAAUCCGGAAAAUCAAGGCUGAGGCGUGAUGACGAGGCACUACGGUGCUGAAGCAACAAAUGCCCUGCUUCCAGGAAAAGCCUCUAAGCAUCAGGUAACAUCAAAUCGUACCCCAAACCGACACAGGUGGUCAGGUAGAGAAUACCAAGGCGCUUGAGAGAACUCGGGUGAAGGAACUAGGCAAAAUGGUGCCGUAACUUCGGGAGAAGGCACGCUGACACGUAGGUGAAGUGAUUUACUCAUGGAGCUGAAGUCAGUCGAAGAUACCAGCUGGCUGCAACUGUUUAUUAAAAACACAGCACUGUGCAAACACGAAAGUGGACGUAUACGGUGUGACGCCUGCCCGGUGCCGGAAGGUUAAUUGAUGGGGUCAGCGCAAGCGAAGCUCCUGAUCGAAGCCCCGGUAAACGGCGGCCGUAACUAUAACGGUCCUAAGGUAGCGAAAUUCCUUGUCGGGUAAGUUCCGACCUGCACGAAUGGCGUAAUGAUGGCCAGGCUGUCUCCACCCGAGACUCAGUGAAAUUGAACUCGCUGUGAAGAUGCAGUGUACCCGCGGCAAGACGGAAAGACCCCGUGAACCUUUACUAUAGCUUGACACUGAACAUUGAGCCUUGAUGUGUAGGAUAGGUGGGAGGCUUUGAAGCGUGGACGCCAGUCUGCGUGGAGCCGACCUUGAAAUACCACCCUUUAAUGUUUGAUGUUCUAACGUGGACCCGUAAUCCGGGUUGCGGACAGUGUCUGGUGGGUAGUUUGACUGGGGCGGUCUCCUCCUAAAGAGUAACGGAGGAGCACGAAGGUUGGCUAAUCCUGGUCGGACAUCAGGAGGUUAGUGCAAUGGCAUAAGCCAGCUUGACUGCGAGCGUGACGGCGCGAGCAGGUGCGAAAGCAGGUCAUAGUGAUCCGGUGGUUCUGAAUGGAAGGGCCAUCGCUCAACGGAUAAAAGGUACUCCGGGGAUAACAGGCUGAUACCGCCCAAGAGUUCAUAUCGACGGCGGUGUUUGGCACCUCGAUGUCGGCUCAUCACAUCCUGGGGCUGAAGUAGGUCCCAAGGGUAUGGCUGUUCGCCAUUUAAAGUGGUACGCGAGCUGGGUUUAGAACGUCGUGAGACAGUUCGGUCCCUAUCUGCCGUGGGCGCUGGAGAACUGAGGGGGGCUGCUCCUAGUACGAGAGGACCGGAGUGGACGCAUCACUGGUGUUCGGGUUGUCAUGCCAAUGGCACUGCCCGGUAGCUAAAUGCGGAAGAGA